GAACGAGAAAGUGGGGCAAUCCAUGAGUAAAGUGGCGACCGGGUGAGUAACACGUGACUAACCUACCCUUGAGUGGGGGAUAACCUCGGGAAACCGGGGCUAAUACCGCAUAACAUCGCAAGAUCAAAGGAGCAAUCCGCUGAAGGAGGGGGUCGCGGCUGAUUAGUUAGUUGGUGAGGUAACGGCUCACCAAGACGAAGAUCAGUAGCCGGCCUGAGAGGGCGCACGGCCACACUGGAACUGAAACACGGUCCAGACUCCUACGGGAGGCAGCAGUGGGGAAUUUUGCGCAAUGGGGGAAACCCUGACGCAGCAACGCCGCGUGGAGGAUGAAGUCCCUUGGGAUGUAAACUCCUUUCGAUCGGGAAGAUAAUGACGGUACCGGAAGAAGAAGCACCGGCUAACUCUGUG
Molecule: ribosomal RNA, 411 nt
Filed under: uncultured bacterium
Lineage: Bacteria
Description: bacterial SSU rRNA
Rfam family: Bacterial small subunit ribosomal RNA
Source: RNAcentral